GAUCUCCUACGGGAGGCAGCAGUGGGGAAUCUUGCACAAUGGGCGAAAGCCUGAUGCAGCCAUGCCGCGUGAAUGAUGAAGGCCUUAGGGUUGUAAAAUUCUUUCGCCAGGGAUGAUAAUGACAGUACCUGGUAAAGAAGCCCGGCUAACUUCGUGCCAGCAGCCGCGGUAAUACGAAGGGGGCUAGCGUUGUUCGGAAUUACUGGGCGUAAAGCGCACGUAGGCGGACUUUUAAGUCAGAUGUGAAAUCCCGGGGCUCAACCUCGGAACUGCAUUUGAAACUGGAAGUCUAGAGACCAGGAGAGGUUAGCGGAAUACCGAGUGUAGAGGUGAAAUUCGUAGAUAUUCGGAGGAACACCAGUGGCGAAAGCGACA
This 375-nucleotide ribosomal RNA is filed under the name uncultured Alphaproteobacteria bacterium. RNAcentral describes it as "bacterial SSU rRNA". It matches the Rfam family "Bacterial small subunit ribosomal RNA", at positions 333 to 726 of the family's 1533-position model. The record is from RNAcentral. Lineage: Bacteria; Pseudomonadati; Pseudomonadota; Alphaproteobacteria.